This 525-nucleotide ribosomal RNA is filed under the name uncultured bacterium. RNAcentral's name for it is "bacterial SSU rRNA". It matches the Rfam family "Bacterial small subunit ribosomal RNA", at positions 355 to 896 of the family's 1533-position model. The record is from RNAcentral.
UGGGGAAUAUUGGACAAUGGGGGAAACCCUGAUCCAGCGGCGCCGCGUGAGUGAAGAAGUAUUUCGGCAUGUAAAGCUCUAUCAGCAGGGAAGAAAAUGACGGUACCUGACUAAGAAGCCCCGGCUAACUACGUGCCAGCAGCCGCGGUAAUACGUAUGGGGCAAGCGUUAUCCGGAUUUACUGGGUGUAAAGGGAGCGCAGACGGCGAAGCAAGUCUGAAGUGAAAUGCAUGGGCUCAACCCAUGAAUUGCUUUGGAAACUGUUUGGCUUGAGUGUCGGAGGGGUAAGCGGAAUUCCUAGUGUAGCGGUGAAAUGCGUAGAUAUUAGGAGGAACACCGGAGGCGAAGGCGGCUUACUGGACGACAACUGACGUUGAGGCUCGAAGGCGUGGGGAGCAAACAGGAUUAGAUACCCUGGUAGUCCACGCAGUAAACGAUGAAUACUUGGUGUCGGGGAGGUAAACUCUUCGGUGCCGCAAGCAAACGCAUUAAGUAUUCCACCUGGGGAGUACGUUCGCAAGAAUG